CUCUUCGGUAUGAACGUUUUCUUGCAUCAUCAUCAUCUCUCAUUUGAAAAUUUCACUAACAAGAUUUGAUUCUCUCGUGUAGAAUCAAGAGCGAUUACUCAGUACAUAGCUCACCGAUAUGAAGAGGAAGGAACCAACCUUCUCCCAGCCGACUCCAAGAACAUAUCCCACUACGCAAUCAUGGCCAUUGGAAUGGAAGUAGAAGCUCACCACUUCGACCCAGUGGCUUCAAAGCUUGCUUGGGAACAAGUGUUCAAGCUCUUCUAUGGCAUGACCACAGACCAAGCCGUUGUUGAAGAAGAAGAGGCCAAGUUAGCCACGGUUCUUGAUGUGUACGAGGCUAGGCUCAAGGAGUUCAAGUAUUUGGCUGGUGAAACUUUUACUUUGACCGAUCUUCACCACAUUCCAGUGAUUCAGUACUUGCUUGGAACUCCCACCAAAAAGCUCUUCGAUGAGCGUCCACAUGUCAGCGAGUGGGUGGCAGAGAUCACCAACAGGCCAGCUUCCCAGAAGAUCCUUCAGUGAGACAAAAGGAAAAGAAAAUGAUUCUGCUUCAGUCACAGUAAUAAUAUGCUCAAACUAAAUAAGUGGCUGCCUCAUUGCCCAAUUUCUCAGUGCUCUGUUUUGUCUUUCUGUAUGUCCUCUGUUUUUUAUUUUCAGUUUAAUAUUGUAUGUGUUUGUGUUCUUGAGAGAUCAUUGUUGAAUCAAAAGUUAUUUUCCUAAUCUUCAAACUCUUCUAUAAUAAAACAGGUUAGUUAGUUAUUUAAUACUACAGAAGAUUGCAAUGUCUUAACUAAGGAGUUACUUAUUAGUGAGAGAAUAGUAUGCAAAGACUUUUAGUGCUUACUUUGUAGGCAUAAGACUUUGGACAUUCUCAUCCUUAUAAAGUCUCCUUGCUUUGUCGGAUCUGAAAAUGACAGACAAGUAAGAGAUGGUCUUAGCUAAAAGUCUGACAAAGCAAACGAGGAGGAGGAGGGGAUGAUGAGUAUUUGCAUGAAGAGCCUCAAGAUCUCCCUCCUCGAAAUCCUUUAAAGCAGCCUCUUAAACGACCUAGAAACUCAGAUCCUUUCCAAGAAGCCAUGUUAGCGGUUGCUUCAAGCAUUCGUCGCCUAGCUGAUGCAGUGGAAGGAAGCAAAAGUUUGAUCAACACAGAGGAACUGCUUGAAGCAGUGAUGGAGAUUGAUGGAUUGGAAGAAGCCAAGCAGAUGUAUGCGUUUGAGUAUCUGAAUGGUGAUCCGGUGAAAGCUAGAGCGUUCAUGGCUUAUGAUAGUAGGAUGAGGAAGUUGUUUUUGUUUCGACAGUUUUGGUGGUGGAAGUAAUAACACAAAAUGUGGAUUUGAAUUUUGUUUUAAGGUAAUUUAAAGUCUAGAGUUUUUGUAUUCGGUGAUUGUUGUCUAUGGUAAAAUGAUUUAUCCCAAGUGGUCACAUUGCAAAACCAAUGUUUCGGUCCCAACAAUUUUGUAGUCGGUAGAUGUUAGUCAUAGUAGAUAAAUUACUAUGAUUUGGUCUGGGCAAAAACCAAACACAAUUAAAAGAAGAAAUCGAAUCAAAAUUUUAUAAAUAGUUGAUUUGUUUUUUAUUGUCCGAAAUAUUCUAACUGAAUCAAAAUCAAUAGAUAGUUGAAUAUAUAAAAUAUAAUUUUCUAUUUAAAAUAUUAAUUAUAAUAAUUUAUAUGAUAUAACAUUUUAAAUAUAAUUACUAUUGAGAAUAUUUAUAAAUAUAUACAAAAAGAAUUUACUGAUGUUUAAUUUAUCUGAAUAUUUUUAUUUAAAAUAUUUAAAUUGGUUUUGGUUUAGCUCAAUUUACAACCGCAGUUUCGCUUGAUUUAGCUCAAUUUUAGUAUGGUUGGUCCGCUUGGUUUCUCUAAAAGAAAUCAACUUAAUCAAUUGAUUGGAGGAAAAUAACACAACGCAACGCAACGUGAGACGUUAUCACCCAUCAUCAUCAUCCAUCGAUCAUCACCAUCUAAAAACCAUGCAAAGCAGGAAUUUUUUUGAAGACUGACAAGGAAACAUGGUGAAGUCACUCUCCUUUGUUCAUCAACCCUAAACUCACUAUUCUCCUCCACUCUCUCUUCAUCCACUUCUUCCAAGAAUAACAAAAUUGCGUACUCAGCAAACAUCAAGAACCAGAUAAUAUCGUCUCUGUCAUGGAACAGACGAGAACUGUCUCUUGGGUUUAUGAUCAGCUUUCUUGCGUUUGGUCUCGUGGAGAGCUUCUGGAGAAAGUGAAGCAAGAUCGGAAAAAGAGGAUUGAGCGACGAGCUGUUCUUAACUCUGCUGUCAAUGAAAAGGGUAUUUCUGAAAACAAUCAGUCUUUCAUCUUUGUGUUGCUGGGUUUUUUUCUAUGUGUUCGAGAAUUUGCAAAGUUUGGGAUGUGUACUUGUGUUUAGAAGAAAGUUACUCAGACUUUGAAGUUACAUGUAGCAGUAACCUGAAGAAUCAACAGUCUUUAUAGUUGAUGAAAAGUUUACUCUUAUAGGACAAAUGUGUUUCCUCAUUGUGUUAUGGUCUUCAUAGUUAGUUAAUUGGCUUUGUUCCAAUGCCAUUUACAUUAAAAAGUUACUCUGGUUUUGUAUCCUUCCAAUGCUACAUGACGUAAUCAGAAGAUAUUUAUGGACAAGUUUUACUCUUUUAGGGAUAUAUGGGUCUUCUCUUUCUGGUAUAUGGUCUACAUAUUGUUAUCUGUCUUGUUCUAGUGUUACUUACAUUGAACACUAAUCUGAUGAUGAUUGAUUAAGUAAUCAGAACAAAUAGAUGGAAAGGUUUUUGACCUUUUUGUUAUUUCUGUCAUUGUCUUGUUUGUAGGGUAUUUGCAGGAUCUUGUUUACAAGUUAAGCAAAGUAGGACAAGCCAUUGAGAACAAUGAUCUGGAAGCUGCAUGUUUGGUCUUAGGGAAAGGCAUUGAUACCGGAUGGGUCAAAACCGUUAAUUUGGCUUUCACAAAGCUCUUUUUCUUUCUCCUUUUUUUUUUUUAACUCACAAUGGUCAAAUGGAUUGAUUAUAUUUAUAUUCAACUGGUUCUCUCUCUGCAUAAGGUAGAUUUUCUUUUUACGGUUUAGUCAAGCUCGUUCUUUGUGUUGUAACGACAGCUGAGUGCAAGCCCGGAAGAAAAUACAGAGGUGGAAAGUGGAAACAUUUAAUUCAUCUUUAGCUUCUCUUAUUACAUCAGGUUCGUUGUUCUUCUUAACUUCUCUGUUCACAAGAAUCAAAUUUAUCCAUUUAAAAGUCAUAAGAAAUAUCUUAUUGAAACUUGGUUACGCAGUGAACAAGAACGAUAGAGAGUCAUCUAAGCUCGCGUUUGUGUCAUCGGCUAGUGCAUUUGAGAAAUGGACGAGCUUGACAGGUCUUUUGGGACACCUUAAAGGAAUAUGAUAGGCUACCUUACAAAAUUGUCUUUAUUUUUCUACGGAUGGUCAACAAAAGAAGAGUCGAAACAAACAAAAAAAUAAUCCUUUGAAAAUGCCAUCUUAACAGCUUUGCUUAUCAUUAUUUAUUACAUUUGUUCAUACUCACCUUGCAUUGGCUAAUUUUUAAAAAAGUUUCAGUCACGAGUUUGAAUGGUAAUAACUCAACAUUAAAAGGAACCUUUCAACCAGAAUUCCACAUAAAUAAACUUUAAAUUAAAAAAAAACCUUUGAACCGGGAAGAAGUCAUGCCCGAUAUGCUAACCAAGAGUGUGUCAAUCAAGUAAAGUUGUAAACCAAAACCCGGGUAAAACAUGUACAACCAAAUUUCACAUCAAUAGAAACCCAUUUAACCGAGAAAUCAUGCCGGUUAAAAGCAUCCCGAAACAAUACUGAACCGGUAAUAGCCAAGGUGUAUGUCACGUUACUAGGUGGAGCUUGACUAUUAGGUGGAAGUUUGAGACAUUUGGGCGUUAGUACACACUUGUUUGAUCUUUUCUUUGAUGACAUUCAUUGAAUGCUUUAUUAUUUAAAAACGAUAUCUCAUAACCAAAUUGUAAAAAACAAAUAAUCAAGCGUUAAACAAUCUCAUUCCAGUUUGACUAAUCCUCCAAAGAAGACUAGUCAAUAUUGGUUUGCGACGGUCUUGUAGAUGCAUUAUUGAUCAGCUAAAACAAUAUUAAACAUUAAUGAGAAUCCAUUAAAAUGCUCUGUUUUCUACUUGUAUAAAUAUACCAUCAUUACUUGUCUCUUGUUUCAUCACCUUCACAUUCAACAUUAAACACAUCACAUUUCAAAGAGUUUCUUUUGUAAUCAAAAUCAAUGGCAGGUAUCAAAGUUUUCGGACACGCUGCUUCCACUGCCACCAGGAGAGUCCUCCUCACCCUCCACGAGAAGAACCUCGACUUUGAGCUCGUUCAUGUCGAGCUCAAAGACGGCGAGCACAAGAAAGAGCCCUUCCUCUCCCGCAACGUAAGUAUUUAUAUGUAACCAUGAGUUUUGAGACAAGACCAACCACUUUUGACAAAUCUUGGUCUGAAUCUUUAAUGUUUUGUUUUUGAUUGACGUUACAGCCUUUUGGUAAAGUUCCCGCCUUUGAAGAUGGAGACCUCAAGCUCUUCGGUAUGAACGUUUUCUUGAAUCGUCAUCCCUGAUUUGAAAAUUUCACUAACAAGAUUUGAUUCUUUCGUGUAGAAUCAAGAGCGAUUACUCAGUACAUAGCUCACCGAUAUGAAGAGGAAGGAACCAACCUUCUCCCAGCCGACUCCAAGAACAUAUCCCACUACGCAAUCAUGGCCAUUGGAAUGGAAGUAGAAGCUCACCACUUCGACCCAGUGGCUUCAAAGCUUGCUUGGGAACAAGUGUUCAAGCUCUUCUAUGGCAUGACCACUGACCAAGCCGUUGUUGAAGAAGAAGAGGCUAAGUUAGCCACGGUCCUUGAUGUGUAUGAGGCUAGGCUCAAGGAGUUCAAGUAUUUGGCUGGUGAAACUUUUACUUUGACCGAUCUGCACCACAUUCCAGUGAUUCAGUACUUGCUCGGAACUCCCACCAAAAAGCUCUUCGACGAGCGUC
RNAcentral lists this long non-coding RNA (4978 nucleotides) under Brassica napus (rape). RNAcentral describes it as "long non-coding RNA (BNAP_LNC011420)". The record is from RNAcentral. Lineage: Eukaryota; Viridiplantae; Streptophyta; Magnoliopsida; Brassicales; Brassicaceae.